This 476-nucleotide ribosomal RNA is filed under the name uncultured Acaulospora. RNAcentral's name for it is "SSU rRNA". It matches the Rfam family "Eukaryotic small subunit ribosomal RNA", at positions 569 to 1047 of the family's 1831-position model. Lineage: Eukaryota; Fungi; Glomeromycota; Glomeromycetes; Diversisporales; Acaulosporaceae. The record is from RNAcentral.
AGCAGCCGCGGUAAUUCCAGCUCCAAUAGCGUAUAUUAAAGUUGUUGCAGUUAAAAAGCUCGUAGUUGAAUUUCGGGAUUUGUCAGUUGGUCGGGCUUCACUGUCCGUAUUGACUUGAUGGAUUCUUACCUUCUGAAUAACCAGCAUGCUAUUAAGUUAGUGCGUUGGGGAAGCAGAUCUAUUACCUUGAAAAAAUUAGAGUGCUUAAAGCGAGCUAGUGCUUGAAUAGAUUAGCAUGGAAUAAUAAAAUAGGACGGCAUGGUUCUAUUUUGUUGGUUUCUAGGAUCACCGUAAUGAUUAAUAGGGAUAGUUGGGGGCAUUAGUAUUCAAUUGUCAGAGGUGAAAUUCUUGGAUUUAUUGAAGACUAACUUCUGCGAAAGCAUUUGCCAAGGAUGUUUUCAUUAAUCAAGAACGAAAGUUAGGGGAUCGAAGACGAUCAGAUACCGUCGUAGUCUUAACCAUAAACUAUGCCGACU